Long non-coding RNA from Bombyx mori (domestic silkworm), 1120 nucleotides. RefSeq lists it as uncharacterized. The transcript has 2 exons. The record is from RefSeq and is a predicted model, not a curated record. NCBI's taxonomy places the organism in Eukaryota, Metazoa, Arthropoda, Insecta, Lepidoptera, Bombycidae.
ACAUUUGAAGUUGUCGUAGCCUAAAGGAUAAGACGUCCGGUCAUUCGUAUAGAUCUAGCGAUGCAACAGUGUUCGAAUACCGCAUUACCAUUUUUUGUAAUGAAAUACGUACUCAACAAAUGUUCACGAUUGACUUCCACGGUGUAGGACUAAUAUCGUGUAAUAAAAAUCAAACCCGCAAAAUUAUCAUUUGCGUAAUAACUGGUGAUAGGACCUCUUCUGAGUCCGCAAGUGUGGGUACGACCACCGGGCCUAUUUCUGACGUGGGGCAGCCAUUGUAACUACAUUACUGAGACCUUAGAAGUUGGGCUCCAGUAACCACUUAACACCAGGUGGGCUGAGCUUGUCCAUCCAUCUUAGCGAUAAAAAAAAAAAGUAAAUGUUCAGUAAUGUUAGAUAGGGGAGCGUCUUCCUACGUAACAUUACAAAAGUUUAAUGUGAUACUGAGUGGUGGGUCAUGAACUUCAACUUUCUUAAGAGCAUAACCAGGAUGCUGUCCAGCAGAGCUUUUGCUUUAAAGAGGCACAUUUAAUUUUUAUUUUUUAUUUCUCAUUCUCAUUCUUCAUUCUCAUUUUUUAUUUCACGUUAUUUUUUAUUUCUCUGCUUAAAUGAUUAUAGUGACCAUUUGAGCUAUUAAAUCCUCAGAAGGGGUUUUUCACAACAUUACUCUUUGGAAUUAUGGAACAACAUACCUUCUUUUUGGAAUUUUAAAUGAACCUGCAAAACCUUCGAUCAACAAUAGUAACUAGAUUUCGGGUCGGUGCAUAAAAUCCGUCUCGUCAAAUAACAGCGCACUUGAAAUGUGAGCUCUUAUUUUGUUUAGUUCACUUCAAACACAGCCAAUGUCAACCCGUCUCACAAUACCGCAGUGUGUAUUCAAAAGUUGCAAAAAUAAGGCCCGAAAAAGCAAUUUAACGGCCGGAAUAUCUUACAUUCGCUUUCCUAGCAAUCACGUGUGCAGAAUGGAUCUCGAUUGUCGCCAUAGAAACAAGAGAUGACUUUUAUAAGCCAGCUAAGAUCUCCGCUUAUUGACACUGGACAUCUUUGCCUUCCGUGCUCACGGCUACUGAAACGUGGCUGAAACAUUGUAAUAAAAAUACCGCGCUUGAAACCGUUUAAA